GAGUUUGAUCAUGGCUCAGGACGAACGCUGGCGGCACGCCUAACACAUGCAAGUCGAACGGAGAUAUUUUGGUUUACUGAGAUAUCUUAGUGGCGGACGGGUGAGUAACACGUGAGCAACCUGCCUYUGAGAGGGGGAUAGCUUCUGGAAACGGAUGGUAAUACCUCAUAACAUAACGAAGCCGCAUGACUUUGUUAUCAAAGAUUUAUCACUCAGAGAUGGGCUCGCGUYUGAUUAGAUAGUUGGUGAGGUAACGGCUCACCAAGUCGACGAUCAGUAGCCGGACUGAGAGGUUGAACGGCCACAUUGGGACUGAGACACGGCCCAGACUCCUACGGGAGGCAGCAGUGGGGAAUAUUGCACAAUGGGGGAAACCCUGAUGCAGCGAUGCCGCGUGGAGGAAGAAGGUUUUCGGAUUGUAAACUCCUGUCUAAAGGACGAUAAUGACGGUACCUUAGGAAGA
Molecule: ribosomal RNA, 463 nt
Filed under: uncultured Bacillota bacterium
Lineage: Bacteria; Bacillati; Bacillota
Description: bacterial SSU rRNA
Source: RNAcentral